CCUACGGGAGGCUGCAGUGGGGAAUAUUGGACAAUGGGGGGAACCCUGAUCCAGCCAUGCCGCGUGUGUGAAGAAGGCCCUCGGGUUGUAAAGCACUUUCAGUGAGGAAGAACGCCUGGUGGUUAAUACCCAUCAGGAAAGACAUCACUCACAGAAGAAGCACCGGCUAACUCCGUGCCAGCAGCCGCGGUAAUACGGAGGGGGCGAGCGUUAAUCGGAAUUACUGGGCGUAAAGCGCGCGUAGGUGGCUUGAUAAGCCGGUUGUGAAAGCCCCGGGCUCAACCUGGGAACGGCAUCCGGAACUGUCAAGCUAGAGUGCAGGAGAGGAAGGUAGAAUUCCCGGUGUAGCGGUGAAAUGCGUAGAGAUCGGGAGGAAUACCAGUGGCGAAGGCGGCCUUCUGGACUGACACUGACACUGAGGUGCGAAAGCGUGGGUAGCAAACAGGAUUAGAUACCCGAGUAGUC
This 465-nucleotide ribosomal RNA is filed under the name Vreelandella stevensii. RNAcentral's name for it is "partial 16S ribosomal RNA". It matches the Rfam family "Bacterial small subunit ribosomal RNA", at positions 338 to 795 of the family's 1533-position model. Lineage: Bacteria; Pseudomonadati; Pseudomonadota; Gammaproteobacteria; Oceanospirillales; Halomonadaceae. The record is from RNAcentral.